RNAcentral lists this ribosomal RNA (253 nucleotides) under uncultured bacterium. RNAcentral's name for it is "partial 16S ribosomal RNA". It matches the Rfam family "Bacterial small subunit ribosomal RNA", at positions 524 to 776 of the family's 1533-position model. The record is from RNAcentral.
UACAGAGAGUGCAAACGUUGUUCGGAAUUACUGGGCUUAAAGCGCACGUAGGCGGCGCCGCAAGUGUGGGGUGAAAGCCCACGGCUUACCCGUGGAAUUGCCUGGCAGACUGCGGUGCUAGAGUGUGGUAGGGGAGAGCGGAACUCCUGGUGGAGCGGUGAAAUGCGUAGAUAUUGGGAGGAACACCAGUGGCGAAGGCGGCUCACUGGACCGGUACUGACGCUGAUGCGCGAAAGCGUGGGGAGCAAACAGG